RNAcentral lists this ribosomal RNA (1356 nucleotides) under metagenome. RNAcentral's name for it is "bacterial LSU rRNA". It matches the Rfam family "Bacterial large subunit ribosomal RNA", at positions 1564 to 2925 of the family's 2925-position model. The record is from RNAcentral.
UGAGUCCGAGUCUCUACGGAGACGAAGUGGCGCUCGUCAGGCUUCCGAGAAAAGCUCUAACCACGCUAAUUUUCAGUGACCUGUACCCGAAACCGACACAGGUAGGGGGGUAGAGAAUACCAAGGGGCGCGAGAUAACUCUCUCUAAGGAACUCGGCAAAAUGACCCCGUAACUUCGGGAGAAGGGGUACCUUCAGUGAUGAAGGUCGCAGUGAAGAGGCCCAGGCGACUGUUUACCAAAAACACAGGUCUCCGCUAAGUCGCAAGACGAUGUAUGGGGGCUGACGCCUGCCCAGUGCCGGAAGGUUAAGGAAGUUGGUCAGGGAGAGAUCCUGAAGCUGACGACCGAAGCCCCGGUGAACGGCGGCCGUAACUAUAACGGUCCUAAGGUAGCGAAAUUCCUUGUCGGGUAAGUUCCGACCCGCACGAAAGGCGUAACGAUCUGGGCGCUGUCUCGGAGAGAGGCUCGGCGAAAUAGGAUUGUCUGUGAAGAUACGGACUACCUGCACCUGGACAGAAAGACCCUAUGAAGCUUUACUGUAGCUUGGAAUUGGCUUCGGGCUUGGUUUGCGCAGGAUAGGUGGGAGGCAUUGAAGACUUGCUUGUGGGUGAGUCUGAGCCAACGGUGAGAUACCACUCUAACCAGGCUAGAAUUCUAACUCUGUCCCUGCACGGGGAGGAGGACAGUUUCAGGUGGGCAGUUUGACUGGGGCGGUCGCCUCCUAAAAGAUAACGGAGGCGCGCAAAGGUUCCCUCAGGCUGGUUGGAAAUCAGCCGCAUAGUGCAAAGGCAGAAGGGAGCUUGACUGCGAGACCUACAAGUCAAGCAGGGUGGAAACACGGCCUUAGUGAUCCGACGGCACCGAGUGGAAGGGCCGUCGCUCAACGGAUAAAAGUUACUCUAAGGAUAACAGGCUGAUUUCCCCCAAGAGUUCACAUCGACGGGGAGGUUUGGCACCUCGAUGUCGGCUCAUCGCAACCUGGGGCGGAAGUACGUCCCAAGGGUUGGGCUGUUCGCCCAUUAAAGCGGUACGUGAGCUGGGUUCAGAACGUCGUGAGACAGUUCGGUCCAUAUCCGGUGCAGGCGCAAGAGCAUUGAGAGGAGUCUUCCUUAGUACGAGAGGACCGGGAAGAACGCACCGCUGGUGUACCUGUUAUCGUGCCAACGGUAAACGCAGGGUAGCCAAGUGCGGAGCGGAUAACCGCUGAAAGCAUCUAAGUGGGAAGCCCACCUCAAGAUGAGUGCUCUCAUGGUGUUAAACCAGUAAGGUCACGGGCAGAACACCCGUUGAUAGGCGGUCGGUGGAAGUUCAGCAAUGGAUGAAGCCUAGCCGUACUAACAGACCGAGGGCUUGACC